RNAcentral lists this long non-coding RNA (725 nucleotides) under Homo sapiens (human). Its description in RNAcentral is "non-protein coding lnc-LPIN3-3:1". The record is from RNAcentral. Lineage: Eukaryota; Metazoa; Chordata; Mammalia; Primates; Hominidae.
UUGCUAUCACUGAUUCCAAAUUUGAUUUUAUCUUUUGUUUUACUUUCUUUUAACCACAUGAUAAGUGUCCCAGGAUUUUUUUCUAAAGAGCUUCAAAGUGAAACUGUAGACAUUUUCUUUGCCUUUAAAAGCCAAAAAAGAUCACCAUCUGAGAGAAAUUAUGAGCCUUUCAAGGCCACCUGGGACAGAGUGGAGAAAUGAUGCCAAAAACCAAUUCCUAAGGACUUCAAAGUUGAAAAAUGUUUCCUUCAGAAGAAAAGAACUGCUGAGAUAAAACAAAUGAUGGCAAUUCCAAUUAUGCAUUUUUCCUACUUUCUCAUAAGAAAAGUAUUAAAUUAAUGUCUCUUAUGAAGGAUGGGUUCCUAGAUUACAUUUAAAGUUACAGUUUCAUAGAAAUAAUCAUAUUGAAGUGAAGCAAAUUUCUGAGCAGUCCCAUUCAGUUGAAAUAAAAUAAUACACAGAAAUAGUCAAACACGUGCAAAAUGUGUGCAGCCUGGAAGCACUCUGAAUCCCACAAUUCAGAGUGUGUUUUAUGAAACUCCAAAAGGAUCACUUCUGCUACGAUUGUAUCAACUUAAUUGAUCUUGGCAGCCUGAUGAUUUGACACUGUCUUCACUACCCUGCUCCUUAGUCUCAGCGAUUACAAUAGCAGUGCAGAAAGCUCAUUUUCUACUCUUAGUGACUUAGAAACCCGCUUCUGCUGCUCUGUCCAGUGACAGGCUCUG